GCCGAUUUGAAUCUUUCGGGGAACAAUUAUUAAACAGGAGUUGACUCAUGUUUUGUUUGGGACUUCCACGUUGAGUCAUGGAGGAGUCUUCAGUGACAAUUGGCACAAUAGACGUUUCUUAUCUGCCCAAUUCAUCAGAAUACAGCCUUGGCCGAUGUAAACACACGAAUGAGGACUGGGUUGACUGUGGCUUCAAACCUACCUUCUUCAGAUCCGCAACGCUGAAAUGGAAGGAGAGCCUCAUGAGCCGGAAGAGGCCCUUCGUGGGAAGGUGUUGCUAUUCAUGCACGCCUCAGAGCUGGGAAAGGUUUUUCAACCCCAGUAUCCCAUCUCUGGGUUUGCGGAAUGUUAUUUAUAUCAAUGAAACUCACACAAGGCACCGAGGAUGGCUGGCAAGACGGCUUUCUUACAUCCUUUUUGUUCAAGAGCGCGAUGUCCACAAGGGCAUGUUUGCCACCAGUAUCACUGACAAUGUACUGAAUAGCAGCAGAGUCCAAGAGGCAAUUGCUGAAGUGGCUGCAGAAUUGAACCCGGAUGGAUCUGCCCAGCAGCAGUCCAAAG
RNAcentral lists this long non-coding RNA (561 nucleotides) under Rattus norvegicus (Norway rat). RNAcentral describes it as "long non-coding RNA NONRATT003933". Lineage: Eukaryota; Metazoa; Chordata; Mammalia; Rodentia; Muridae. The record is from RNAcentral.